This 253-nucleotide ribosomal RNA is filed under the name uncultured bacterium. RNAcentral's name for it is "partial 16S ribosomal RNA". It matches the Rfam family "Bacterial small subunit ribosomal RNA", at positions 524 to 776 of the family's 1533-position model. The record is from RNAcentral.
UACGUAGGGGGCUAGCGUUGUCCGGAAUCAUUGGGCGUAAAGAGCGUGUAGGCGGCCCGGUAAGUCCGCUGUGAAAGUCGGGGGCUCAACCCUCGAAUGCCGGUGGAUACUGUCGGGCUAGAGUGCGGAAGAGGCGAGUGGAAUUCCUGGUGUAGCGGUGAAAUGCGCAGAUAUCAGGAGGAACACCAAUUGCGAAGGCAGCUCGCUGGGACGUAACUGACGCUGAGGCGCGAAAGCGUGGGGAGCAAACAGG